AGCAGCCGCGGUAAUUCCAGCUCCAAUAGCGUAUAUUAAAGUUGUUGCAGUUAAAAAGCUCGUAGUUGAAUUUCGGGGUUCUACCGUUGGUCGGGCUAACCAGUCUGUACUAGCGUGUAAAAUUCCUACCUUCUGGAGAACCAUCAUGUUAUUAAUUUAGCGUGGUGGGAAACCAGGACCUUUACCUUGAAAAAAUUAGAGUGUUCAAAGCAGGCUUACGUCUGAAUACAUUAGCAUGGAAUAAUAGAAUAGGACGGUGGUCCUGUUUUGUUGGUUUCUGAAUCACCGUAAUGAUUAAUAGGGAUAGUUGGGGGCAUUAGUAUUCAAUUGUCAGAGGUGAAAUUCUUGGAUUUAUUGAAGACUAACUUCUGCGAAAGCAUUUGCCAAGGAUGUUUUCAUUAAUCAAGAACGAAAGUUAGGGGAUCGAAGACGAUCAGAUACCGUCGUAGUCUUAACCAUAAACUAUGCCGACUAGGGAUCGGACGAUGUUAAUUUUUAAUGUACUCAUUCGGCGUCCUUA
This 520-nucleotide ribosomal RNA is filed under the name uncultured Scutellospora. RNAcentral describes it as "SSU rRNA". It matches the Rfam family "Eukaryotic small subunit ribosomal RNA", at positions 569 to 1091 of the family's 1831-position model. Lineage: Eukaryota; Fungi; Glomeromycota; Glomeromycetes; Diversisporales; Gigasporaceae. The record is from RNAcentral.